AGUGAACGCUGGCGGUAGGCCUAACACAUGCAAGUCGAACGGCAGCACAGUAAGAGCUUGCUCUUACGGGUGGCGAGUGGCGGACGGGUGAGGAAUACAUCGGAAUCUACUUUUUCGUGGGGGAUAACGUAGGGAAACUUACGCUAAUACCGCACACGACCUACGGGUGAAAGCAGGGGAUCUUCGGACCUUGCGCGAUUGAAUGAGCCGAUGUCGGAUUAGCUAGUUGGCGGGGUAAAGGCCCACCAAGGCGACGAUCCGUAGCUGGUCUGAGAGGAUGAUCAGCCACACUGGAACUGAGACACGGUCCAGACUCCUACGGGAGGCAGCAGUGGGGAAUAUUGGACAAUGGGCGCAAGCCUGAUCCAGCCAUACCGCGUGGGUGAAGAAGGCCUUCGGGUUGUAAAGCCCUUUUGUUGGGAAAGAAAAGCAGCAGGUUAAUAUCCCGCUGUUCUGACGGUACCCAAAGAAUAAGCACCGGCUAACUUCGUG
This 492-nucleotide ribosomal RNA is filed under the name uncultured bacterium. Its description in RNAcentral is "partial 16S ribosomal RNA". It matches the Rfam family "Bacterial small subunit ribosomal RNA", at positions 29 to 507 of the family's 1533-position model. The record is from RNAcentral.